RNAcentral lists this ribosomal RNA (420 nucleotides) under uncultured bacterium. RNAcentral's name for it is "bacterial SSU rRNA". It matches the Rfam family "Bacterial small subunit ribosomal RNA", at positions 358 to 769 of the family's 1533-position model. The record is from RNAcentral.
GGAAUUUUGCGCAAUGGGCGAAAGCCUGACGCAGCAACGCCGCGUGAGUGAUGAAGGCCUUCGGGUCGUAAAGCUCUGUCAGAGGGGAAGAACCGCCGGGUGGCUAAUACCUGCCUGGUCUGACGGUACCCUCAAAGGAAGCACCGGCCAACUCCGUGCCAGCAGCCGCGGUAAUACGGAGGGUGCGAGCGUUGUUCGGAAUUAUUGGGCGUAAAGCGCGUGUAGGCGGUUCUCUAAGUCUGAUGUGAAAGCCCCGGGCUCAACCCGGGAAGUGCAUUGGAAACUGGAGAACUUGAGUACGGGAGAGGGUAGUGGAAUUCCGAGUGUAGGGGUGAAAUCCGUAGAUAUUCGGAGGAACACCGGUGGCGAAGGCGGCUACCUGGACCGAUACUGACGCUGAGACGCGAAAGCGUGGGGAGC